CCCGCUGGGAAGACAGAGGCGGCAAAUCCAGCCUCCCCCUUCCCCUCCCGCAAAGGGCGAUGUGUGUGCAGCCUGGCAGCCAUCACGAAACCAGGAGGUGGACAAGCUGAGCAUGAAGCCAGCUUGCUGGACUGAUGGGGAUGGCAGAACCACAAGCUGGGGACAGUCAGAAUCCCUCAGCCCCUGCUUGGAGGAGAACCAUCUGAGCGGCAGAAGCUGUGGGUGAAUGAGAAAUAACCCUCUGUUUUGUGAAUCCACCGAGACACCCUCCCGUUUGCUUCACGAGUGAAACUGUACAUUAAAUUAUACCUCAGUACACUUCAUAAAAGAGAAAAAGAAAAUGAAUGGUGGAGAAGAAGUUGAUCCGGAGAAGAUCAGAACCCAAAGGGCUGUUGAGCUGCCCCUGGACCUCCAAGCAGGACUCAUGCAGGAAGCGGGUUCUGUGCCUUAACCUCUCGAGGUGGGAUUGACCCUAUACCGAAGACGUGUAAUACUAACUAAACUGUGCUUCUCCCGAAGGGAGAAGGGAAAAGUUAAACUAGAGCCUUGCAGAUGAGAUGGGAUAACCCAAUACUGUCAAAGACCCCAGCCCGGGUCUCAGGCUUCAAGGUCAGCUUCAAAACUGCUCAUCUCCUGUGGCCUGGGAGCCCCCCGCAACACUAAACGGAGUCAUCCGGAAACUCAGUUAUGCACAGGUAUUCCUGAACCCUGUGAACUGUCCUUGGCUGAACCUGGCUCCCCUCUGCCAGGCCUGCCAGGCUCUGUUUGAAGAGCUUGCAAAUAUAUAGGGUUGAAAAUGAAAAAACAUUCUCUCCAGGGCUAGACCAAGUCCUGGGGUUAAGACUUGUUAGGAAAGCCCACCUGCUAUCCUUUGAAAUAGAUAAAAGACAUUUCAAUCUCUUGCCAUGAAAAACCCCGGGCACUCCCGGCUCCCCCUUCAGCUCUCCCACACCCUGCUCCCCCCACCCCAAAACCCUAUAAUUAAAAAGACUCUUUUCAGACUGGA
Long non-coding RNA from Suricata suricatta (meerkat), 1006 nucleotides. RefSeq lists it as uncharacterized. The record is from RefSeq and is a predicted model, not a curated record. The transcript is spliced from 2 exons. NCBI's taxonomy places the organism in Eukaryota, Metazoa, Chordata, Mammalia, Carnivora, Herpestidae.